AAUCUCCACCGCCUCCGGUUAAAUCUCCUCCACCUCCUUAUGAAUACAAAUCUCCUCCCCCUCCGGUUAAGUCUCCUCCACCACCGUAUUACUAUCAUUCACCGCCGCCGCCGGUGAAAUCCCCUCCCCCUCCUUAUGUAUACCACUCUCCUCCUCCUCCAGUGAAGUCUCCUCCACCACCUUAUUAUUACCACUCUCCACCACCACCCGUGAAAUCUCCUCCCCCUCCUUAUGUAUAUCACUCUCCUCCACCUCCGAUUAAGUCUCCACCACCACCGUACUACUAUCACUCACCACCACCACCGGUGAAAUCGCCUCCUCCUCCUUACUAUUAUCAUUCUCCACCACCACCGGUUAAAUCUCCACCACCACCAUAUUACUACCAUUCUCCACCACCACCGGUUAAAUCUCCACCACCUCCAUACUACUACCACUCUCCACCUCCUCCGGUCAAGUCUCCACCACCACCGUACUACUAUCACUCUCCGCCUCCUCCGGUCAAGUCUCCUCCACCACCGUACUACUAUCACUCUCCACCUCCUCCGGUCAAGUCUCCUCCACCACCAUACUACUACCACUCUCCCCCUCCUCCGGUGAAGUCUCCACCACCACCGUAUUACUACCACUCUCCUCCUCCUCCGGUUAAAUCUCCACCACCACCAUACUACUAUCACUCUCCACCACCACCGGUCAAAUCCCCACCACCACCAUAUUAUUACCAUUCUCCACCACCACCGGUAAAGUCACCACCUCCACCAUAUUAUUACCAUUCUCCUCCUCCUCCGGUAAAAUCACCACCUCCACCAUAUUAUUAUCACUCUCCUCCUC
RNAcentral lists this long non-coding RNA (828 nucleotides) under Brassica napus (rape). RNAcentral describes it as "long non-coding RNA (BNAP_LNC003888)". The record is from RNAcentral. Lineage: Eukaryota; Viridiplantae; Streptophyta; Magnoliopsida; Brassicales; Brassicaceae.